This is a small nucleolar RNA of Pangasianodon hypophthalmus (striped catfish), 207 nucleotides long. RefSeq annotates it as small nucleolar RNA U3. The record is from RefSeq and is a predicted model, not a curated record. The transcript has a single exon. NCBI's taxonomy places the organism in Eukaryota, Metazoa, Chordata, Actinopteri, Siluriformes, Pangasiidae.
AAGACUAUGCUUUCAGGGGUCAUUUCUAUAGUUUUUAACCAGGAAAUGUGAGUUGAAGAGGUUAAGUCUCUCUAAUCACAAUGAUGAACCUUGAUGUACUCUUCCGAGCACGAAUCAGAUUUUAGCUAAUGGUUUACUCAUUGGCUUUAAUUAUUGAUGAGUGUUCUCAAGUUCUGUAUGAGGAGAAGAGUGCAUGAUCAGAGUGAU